This 239-nucleotide ribosomal RNA is filed under the name Hyaloscypha sp. RNAcentral's name for it is "partial large subunit ribosomal RNA". It matches the Rfam family "Eukaryotic large subunit ribosomal RNA", at positions 104 to 339 of the family's 3401-position model. Lineage: Eukaryota; Fungi; Ascomycota; Leotiomycetes; Helotiales; Hyaloscyphaceae. The record is from RNAcentral.
ACAGCUCAAAUUUGAAAUCUGGCUCUCUCAGGGUCCGAGUUGUAAUUUGUAGAAGAUGCUUUGGGUGUAGCUCCGGUCUAAGUUCCUUGGAACAGGACGUCAUAGAGGGUGAGAAUCCCGUACGUGACUGGGUGCUUUCGCUCGUGUAAAGCUCUUUCGACGAGUCGAGUUGUUUGGGAAUGCAGCUCAAAAUGGGUGGUAAAUUUCAUCUAAAGCUAAAUACCGGCCAGAGACCGAUA